GUGGGGAAUCUUGCGCAAUGGGCGAAAGCCUGACGCAGCCAUGCCGCGUGAAUGAUGAAGGUCUUAGGAUUGUAAAAUUCUUUCACCGGGGACGAUAAUGACGGUACCCGGAGAAGAAGCUCCGGCUAACUUCGUGCCAGCAGCCGCGGUAAUACGAAGGGGGCUAGCGUUGCUCGGAAUUACUGGGCGUAAAGGGCGCGUAGGCGGACAGCUUAGUCAGAGGUGAAAGCCCAGGGCUCAACCUUGGAAUUGCCUUUGAUACUGGCUGUCUUGAGUUUGGGAGGGGUGAGUGGAACUCCGAGUGUAGAGGUGAAAUUCGUAGAUAUUCGGAAGAACACCAGUGGCGAAGGCGACUCACUGGCCCAAUACUGACGCUGAGGCGCGAAAGCGUGGGGAGCAAACAGGAUUAGAUACCCGUGUAGUCC
Molecule: ribosomal RNA, 425 nt
Filed under: uncultured bacterium
Lineage: Bacteria
Description: partial 16S ribosomal RNA
Rfam family: Bacterial small subunit ribosomal RNA
Source: RNAcentral